This 342-nucleotide unclassified non-coding RNA is filed under the name soil metagenome. RNAcentral's name for it is "partial contains 5.8S ribosomal RNA, internal transcribed spacer 2, and large subunit ribosomal RNA". The stretch from base 1 to 120 matches the Rfam family "5.8S ribosomal RNA", at positions 35 to 154 of the family's 154-position model. The record is from RNAcentral.
GAUGAAGAACGCAGCGAAAUGCGAUACGUAAUGUGAAUUGCAGAAUUCAGUGAAUCAUCGAGUCUUUGAACGCACAUUGCGCCCCCUGGUAUUCCGGGGGGCAUGCCUGUCCGAGCGUCAUUGCUGCCCUCAAGCACGGCUUGUGUGUUGGGCCUCCGUCCUCCUCCCGGGGGACGGGCCCGAAAGGCAGCGGCGGCACCGCGUCCGGUCCUCGAGCGUAUGGGGCUUCGUCACCCGCUCUUGUAGGCCCGGCCGGCGCUUGCCGACACAUCAAUCUUUUUUCCAGGUUGACCUCGGAUCAGGUAGGGAUACCCGCUGAACUUAAGCAUAUCAAGCGGAGGA